GACGAACGCUGGCGGCGUGCUUAACACAUGCAAGUCGAACGGAAAGGCCCUGCUUUUGUGGGGUGUUCGAGUGGCGAACGGGUGAGUAACACGUGAGUAACCUGCCCUUGACUUUGGGAUAACUUCAGGGAACUGGGGCUAAUACCGGAUAGGAGCUCCUGCUGCAUGGUGGGGGUUGGAAAGUUUCGGCGGUUGGGGAUGGACUCGCGGCUUAUCAGCUUGUUGGUGGGGUAGUGGCUUACCAAGGCUUUGACGGGUAGCCGGCCUGAGAGGGUGACCGGCCACAUUGGGACUGAGAUACGGCCCAGACUCCUACGGGAGGCAGCAGUGGGGAAUAUUGCACAAUGGGCGGAAGCCUGAUGCAGCAACGCCGCGUGCGGGAUGACGGCCUUCGGGUUGUAAACCGCUUUCGCCUGUGACGAAGCGUGAGUGACGGUAAUGGGUAAAGAAGCACCGGCUAACUACGUG
Molecule: ribosomal RNA, 468 nt
Filed under: uncultured bacterium
Lineage: Bacteria
Description: partial 16S ribosomal RNA
Rfam family: Bacterial small subunit ribosomal RNA
Source: RNAcentral